GGCCGCCUGGCGAAAUGGCAUCGCGUCUGACUACGAUUGUGUCUUUAUGAUAUCGCCAGAUCAGGAGAUUGCAGGUUCGACCCCUGCGGUGGUCA
This is a non-coding RNA of Marasmius oreades (fairy-ring Marasmius), 95 nucleotides long. Lineage: Eukaryota; Fungi; Basidiomycota; Agaricomycetes; Agaricales; Marasmiaceae. The record is from the annotation of a RefSeq genome assembly.